UACGGGGGUGGCAAGCGUUGUUCGGAAUUACUGGGCGUAAAGGGCUCGUAGGCGGCCAACUAGGUCGGCCGGGAAAUCCCCCGGCUUAACCUGGGAACUGCGUCUGAUACUGGGAGGCUUGAGUAUGGGAGAGGGAUGUAGAAUUCCAGGUGUAGCGGUGAAAUGCGUAGAUAUCUGGAGGAAUACCGGUGGCGAAGGCGGCAUCCUGGACCAUAACUGACGCUGAGGCGCGAAAGCUAGGGGAGCAAACGGG
This 253-nucleotide ribosomal RNA is filed under the name uncultured bacterium. RNAcentral's name for it is "partial 16S ribosomal RNA". It matches the Rfam family "Bacterial small subunit ribosomal RNA", at positions 524 to 776 of the family's 1533-position model. The record is from RNAcentral.